Long non-coding RNA from Musca vetustissima, 283 nucleotides. RefSeq lists it as uncharacterized. NCBI's taxonomy places the organism in Eukaryota, Metazoa, Arthropoda, Insecta, Diptera, Muscidae. The transcript is spliced from 3 exons. The record is from RefSeq and is a predicted model, not a curated record.
AGUGGCGGCAGCUUGGCACAGCGGCGGCCCGAUGAAUAUGCGACGAUGAAUAGGGUGGCGGCGGCUUUGGCACAGCGGCAGCCCGAUGAAUACGCAGGUGACGAGUAUAGUGGCGGCAGCUUGGCACAGCGGCGGCCCGAUGAAUAUGUCAGCGGCGAGUAUAGUGGCGGCAGCUUUGGCACAGCGGCGGCCCGAUGAAUACGUCAGCGGCGAGUAGUAGUGGCGGCUGCUUGGCACAGCGGCGGCCCGAUGAAUACGCGACGACGAAUAGGGUGGCGGCGGC